This is a long non-coding RNA of Cucumis sativus (cucumber), 1419 nucleotides long. RefSeq lists it as uncharacterized. The record is from RefSeq and is a predicted model, not a curated record. The transcript has 2 exons. NCBI's taxonomy places the organism in Eukaryota, Viridiplantae, Streptophyta, Magnoliopsida, Cucurbitales, Cucurbitaceae.
CCAUGCUCAUAAGUCAUAAGCAUACAGCAUAUAUUACUAUUGACAUUGAAAUCAAUUAGAUUACACAAUUCACUUAUAUAUUUGAAGUUAGUAUGCAGUUCGUGCGUGUGCGUUGUCUUGUAUGUCAUUGUUUUUUAACUUUUUUCUUUUAUGAUAUUCAUUAGUUAUUAAGACUAUGUCUACUUUUUUACCAAUAGAUCAACUCAUGAUGAUUUCAUUGUUUUUAAACUUCUAACGAGGUUUGAGGGUUAUUGUUGGAAACAAGGGGCUUUGUUGAUAGUUUAUAGCCCCAAGAGUAUUUUAGUAUUUACAUUUUUUUUGAAUCGUUGAUAAAACUUAUUUAUUAAUAAGAACUCAAAGUACAAUAGAGUUAUACAAAGAGAGCAAUAAAGAAGUUGUAAUCAAGGGAGUCUUGAGGGAUUCGGAGGUGCACCCAGACAUCUCAACUAGGUUGACACCCCAUAGCGCCAAUCAUCAUAUCUUGAGCAAAAACAUAAAAAUCAAACAAAGGUACAAUAUUGAAACGUCCAGCUUAUUACAAGGGUUCAGAAGACAAUACAGGUCUAGAAAAACAAAAAGAAACAAUAGGGAAGGCCCAAAAAUACAAUCUCAAAAUAAAGGCUAAACAAGGGCAAUCCUUCAAAAUGCAGAGAAGAGCUUCAGAGUGUGUAACUGCAAACAAUAAAUCUGAUGCAGCAAGUAUCAAGCAGGUUGAGUAAGAAAAGCAUCCUAGUUGAGGCAAUUGUCUUGGAUGGAAUAAUUAACGAACUCCUUUUUUAAGAAACACCAAGCUGCAACAUUAAGAUCUACUUCACACAUAAUUUCUACCUUUGAUCUUGCUUUAUCAUGGAAGAUGCGUUGAUUACGCUCGAACCAUAAUUCUGUGAGUAAAGCUUCUAACAAAGUCUCCCAUAUUAUACGAGGUUUUUUUGGAUAAAAUCGAACUCGACAGAAGUUGAACCACACUAGCACUUAGUGAACGAUAAAAUACCCAAUCUAAAUUGAACAAGGAGAAAAUCCUUACCCAGCAGAAGGAAGAGAUGGGGCAGUUCAAAAAAAUACGAGGAAGAUUCUCACUAGCCUUCAAACAUAGAGGACAGAUUGAAGGAGAGAGGCAUUUAUUGGGGGAUUUCUUUUGCAAAAUUUAUAAACUGUUGAGGGACUUGAAGACUGUAAUCCAAAUCAAAAUGUUAAUUCUCCGUGUGCUGCCUGAUUUCCAAAUUGUUGUGAAGAGACGUUUAUCCAUCGGGGAGGCAGGUUUUAGUUGAGAGCAGGGAUAGUAGUGAUUGAAAUUUUGCAAUUUCAUCUUUCAAACAUCUUCUGAAGGCUAAUGACAAAGAUGAAGUAUCAUGGUCCCAAUGAGCUGCUACUGAAUCUGCUACUGAACCCAAACAUCUUCUGAAGGCUAAUGACAAAGGU